RNAcentral lists this long non-coding RNA (521 nucleotides) under Salmo salar (Atlantic salmon). RNAcentral's name for it is "lncRNA (ENSSSAG00000114271.1)". The record is from RNAcentral. Lineage: Eukaryota; Metazoa; Chordata; Actinopteri; Salmoniformes; Salmonidae.
GUCAAGGCGUAUGGUAGUUAUGGAGAGAGAGGGGAGAAAGAGGUCAAGGCGUAUGGUAGUUAUGGAGAGAGAGGGGAGAAAGAGGUCAAGGCGUAUGGUAGUUAUGGAGAGAGAUGGGAUAAAGAGGUCAAGGCGUAGGGUAGUUAUGGAGAGAGAGGGGAGAAAGAGGUCAAGGUGUAUGGUAGUUAUGGAGAGAGAGGGGAGAAAGAGGUCAAGGUGUAUGGUAGUUAUGGAGAGAGAGGGGAGAAAGAGGUCAAGGUGUAUGGUAGUUAUGGAGAGAGAGGGGAGAACGAGGUCAAGGUGUAUGGUAGUUAUGUGUGAGUGGGACCAGUGGACUCAGUAGGCUGAGUGAAUGAGGAGCAGAUGCCCUCUAGUGACCACUAUUCCAACACUAUAGUCAAUUACUUUGGGCCAAAGUCUCCCAAAGCUGUCUAAUACAUCUGGUCUAAAGUAGUGCACUAGGAAGGGAACAGGGCUCUGGUCUAAAGUAGUGCACUAUGAAGGGAACAGGGCUCUGGUCU